GCUCGGUGCGGCAGCCUCACUGCACGUGUGGCAGCCUUUCUGCGCGCUCGGUUUCUGAUUCUGCUCGCUCGGCUGUUGGGAGUUUUGGCACUCUGGAGGCGUGGAAGAAUUAAAGUGCCAGAAACUGAGCAGUUGAACUUUCAAUUUGAGAGCAGAAUUUCAUAUCAAGAGGCCAUCUUUUUAAUUUCAGAAUACUAUUUUAUAUUAUUGCUCUCAAAACUUGUAAUGCUUGCGCUCAAAAUGUCUGCUCUCUUUCAAAUUCACUCUGUUCUCCUUCAAAUCUUUGUUUUUGCGCUCAGAUUUAACCUUCUUACACUGGUAUUGUCUUCUCAUGUGACAACUUUUUCUCUACACGGAUCAAAACUCCUCCCACAAGUCUGUCCCCUGCUCUCACGGAUCUUGUCUGCUCUCGCUCAAAACUUAGAAGUACAAUCUCCUAGCAACCGCUCAGCCAAUAGAAAGACUUGUGGGACUGGGCGGGAACAAACCUCUUUGGGGUGCGCUCGUUUUGCGCUCUGUUGAUUUUCCUGUGUGGCUGCCGCAUCUGCGCACUAACAGCCUGGCUAAUACCCGCUCUGAUCUGGAGCGAGAGUUUCACCUGCACCAGCAAAAUGGACCAGAACCAACAAGACGCUCAAACUGGUUCCAUCCGAGAAGUUACGAGAAACCUUAUGGAUUUACUGAAUGCUCAUCUACAAGCAGAGGGCCCGCAACAAACACCAACUGUGCCACAGCGCACAACACCAGCGACAACACCUUAACAGACUAUCCCUCGGUCUACAGUUCAUCAAGAAAUGUCAAGGAUUUCCAAGAGCCAGACAUCGACUGGGAUGUUGCUGCAGAGUACAGCCCAGAUGUGGACGGUGCUGCUGUGGUCCCGGAGUUCGACAGUCCCCUCACUGAAGAGCAGCAUGCUGAACUGCAUCCAUGCUUUCGUUCUUUUUUAAACACAGAAACAGUUUUGUUUACCUGUUAGUAGCUACAGUUUCGCCGACGGCUGCCGGCUUCUUCAGGCUGACGCUGUUGGUGGCGCGUCACUUCCUUCUCCGUUUAUCUGCGGGCAGCAGAGACAACUGCCCGCAGAUAAACGGAGAAGGAAGUGACGCGCCACCAACAGCGUCAGCCUGAAGAAGCCGGCAGCCGUCGGCGAAACUGUAGCUACUAACAGGUAAACAAAACUGUUUCUGUGUUUAAAAAAGAACGAAAGCAUGGAUUUAGAAAGACACAGCAAGAACACACCUAAGAUGCUGAACUGCAGUUGCUACUGGCACAAAAUUGGGAGCGUUCAAACACUAAGGAACUUUAUCUAUUGUGCAGAGAAUAUGUUAAUGCUGCUUUGUCAGAUUAAUGUGUACUUGAAAUAAAAAAUCAAGAGAUCA
Molecule: non-coding RNA, 1379 nt
Organism: Nothobranchius furzeri (turquoise killifish)
Lineage: Eukaryota; Metazoa; Chordata; Actinopteri; Cyprinodontiformes; Nothobranchiidae
Source: RefSeq, a predicted model, not a curated record